ACGAACGCUGGCGGCGUGCUAACACAUGCAAGCGAACGGGACUGAUGAAAGCUUGCUUUGAAAAGUCUAGUGGCAAACGGGUGAGUAACGCGUAGGCAACCUGCCUCUAAGAUGGGACAACAGCCCGAAAGGGCUGCUAAUACCGAAUGUUGUAUCUUUGCCGCAUGGUGGAGAUAUUAAAGAUGGCCUCUACUUGUAAGCUAUCACUUAGAGAUGGGCCUGCGUCUGAUUAGCUAGUUGGUGGGGUAACGGCUCACCAAGGCGACGAUCAGUAGCCGGUCUGAGAGGAUGAACGGCCACAUUGGGACUGAGACACGGCCCAGACUCCUACGGGAGGCAGCAGUGGGGAAUCUUCCGCAAUGGGCGAAAGCCUGACGGAGCAACGCCGCGUGAAGUGAAGAAGGUCUUCGGAUCGUAAAGCUCUGUCGAAGGGGACGAACGUGGGUUCUAUCAACAACGGAACCUAAUGACGGUACCUUUCAAGAAAGCCACGGCUAACUACGUGCCAGCCGCAGC
Molecule: ribosomal RNA, 516 nt
Filed under: uncultured bacterium
Lineage: Bacteria
Description: bacterial SSU rRNA
Rfam family: Bacterial small subunit ribosomal RNA
Source: RNAcentral